Non-coding RNA from Camellia sinensis, 385 nucleotides. Lineage: Eukaryota; Viridiplantae; Streptophyta; Magnoliopsida; Ericales; Theaceae. The record is from RefSeq and is a predicted model, not a curated record.
UGGAAAAUCGAAUUUUCGCAGACAAACCUUGAUCGAUCAUCGUUCCCAAAUCUCCCAAUUCUGACUCUGUAUCUCCUAAUCAUCUCCGCCUAGGGCUUUUUUCAUUUCACAUCAGAUUGGUCACUUAGACUCGAAGUUUUGAGGAGCCUCAUCACUUGGAGAGAUUGAUGCUCAAUACACUACAGUUCAACAUGUCAAUUUCAGCCCCAUGUGUCUUCUUGAUCAGAUACCUUAAGGCUGCUCAAUUUGAUAGGAAAAUUAGUUUUUGAUGACAUUUGGAAGCGUGCUUGCAAAUCAAGAUUAAGUGUUGAAUUUUUUUUUUUCCUAAACUGAUAUUUAGUUCUAGUUGUAAAUCAAGAUCUAGAGUUGAUUUUUUGUGCGGACU